GGAGACUAUUUUUAACCCCCCUCCAUCGUGACAGCUCACCACCGUCUCCAAUGGAGACCUAUACCGUCAAACAUCUUCCAUGAGCUUCUUGCCCUCUGUAGACCAGCUUUGAUGAAGUGUCUAUGUAUGCAGGCAUGUGUGAAGGUGUCUGUGUCAGACAAGUGUCCACAGAGGCCAGAAGGCAGCGUCUGAUCUGCUGGGGUUGGAAUUGGAGCUCUGGGUGUUAGGGGGUGCCUGACGUGAAUGCUGGAAACUGUACUCGGGUCCUCUAGAAGAGCAGCAAGCACUCCUAACUGCGGGACCAUCUCUCCAGCCCCUGUUUUUCUACUGCGUUUGGUCUGUGGAUGCCGGUUGCUACAGAACGCCUGGCUGAGGUACAGAAUCAGUGCAGUGAGACCUGGGAAUGAUGAGUCAGCCACUCAUGCAAGUGGAGCUAAGUAAUAAAAAAAAUGGCCCUGAGACACAUCCAGGUCCACAGCCUCAUUCUGGGCUGCCUCAGAGCUGGUGUUCUCCACUCUGAACUUAACUCAGAACAAUGAGCAAGCAGCCUUAUCCCCAUCUGCCUGGGAGCUCUGAGUUCUCUCGCCUGCACAUCAAAGUCUCUGGGACUGAUCACCCAAAGGGUUAAGAAUUUCCCAGAA
Molecule: long non-coding RNA, 641 nt
Organism: Rattus norvegicus (Norway rat)
Lineage: Eukaryota; Metazoa; Chordata; Mammalia; Rodentia; Muridae
Source: RefSeq, a predicted model, not a curated record